UACAGAGGUCUCAAGCGUUGUUCGGAUUCAUUGGGCGUAAAGGGUGCGUAGGUGGCGCUGUAAGUCGGGUGUGAAAUUUCGAGGCUUAACCUCGAAACUGCAUUCGAUACUGCGGUGCUUGAGGACUGGAGAGGAGAAUGGAAUUCCUGGUGUAGCAUUGAAAUGCGUAGAUAUCAGGAGGAAUACCGAUGGCGAAGGCAGGUCUCUGGGCUGACACUGACGCUCAUGCACGAAAGCGUGGGGAGCAAACAGG
This 253-nucleotide ribosomal RNA is filed under the name uncultured bacterium. Its description in RNAcentral is "partial 16S ribosomal RNA". It matches the Rfam family "Bacterial small subunit ribosomal RNA", at positions 524 to 776 of the family's 1533-position model. The record is from RNAcentral.